Molecule: transfer RNA, 72 nt
Filed under: Oscillatoriales cyanobacterium SM2_2_1
Lineage: Bacteria; Bacillati; Cyanobacteriota; Cyanophyceae; Oscillatoriales
Description: tRNA-Met
Rfam family: tRNA
About the family: Transfer RNA (tRNA) molecules are approximately 80 nucleotides in length. Their secondary structure includes four short double-helical elements and three loops (D, anti-codon, and T loops).
Source: RNAcentral
CCUGGGUUGGCUGACAGGUAAAGCAAACGACUCAUAAUCGUUGACAUGCGGGUUCGAUUCCCACACCCAGGA